GAUGAACGCUGGCGGCGUGCCUAAUACAUGCCAGUCGAGCGAACAGACGAGGAGCUUGCUCCUCUGACGUUAGCGGCGGACGGGUGAGUAACACGUGGAUAACCUACCUAUAAGACUGGGAUAACUUCGGGAAACCGGAGCUAAUACCGGAUAAUAUAUUGAACCGCAUGGUUCAAUAGUGAAAGACGGUUUUGCUGUCACUUAUAGAUGGAUCCGCGCCGCAUUAGCUAGUUGGUAAGGUAACGGCUUACCAAGGCAACGAUGCGUAGCCGACCUGAGAGGGUGAUCGGCCACACUGGAACUGAGACACGGUCCAGACUCCUACGGGAGGCAGCUGUAGGGAAUCUUCCGCAAUGGGCGAAAGCCUGACGGAGCAACGCCGCGUGAGUGAUGAAGGUCUUCGGAUCGUAAAACUCUGUUAUUAGGGAAGAACAAAUGUGUAAGUAACUAUGCACGUCUUGACGGUACCUAAUCAGAAAGCCACGGCUAACUACGUG
Molecule: ribosomal RNA, 497 nt
Filed under: uncultured bacterium
Lineage: Bacteria
Description: partial 16S ribosomal RNA
Rfam family: Bacterial small subunit ribosomal RNA
Source: RNAcentral